RNAcentral lists this ribosomal RNA (253 nucleotides) under uncultured bacterium. RNAcentral describes it as "partial 16S ribosomal RNA". It matches the Rfam family "Bacterial small subunit ribosomal RNA", at positions 524 to 776 of the family's 1533-position model. The record is from RNAcentral.
UACAGAGGUCUCAAGCGUUGUUCGGAUUCAUUGGGCGUAAAGGGUGCGUAGGCGGCGCGGUAAGUCGGGUGUGAAAUCUCGGGGCUUAACUCCGAAACUGCAUUCGAUACUGCCGUGCUUGAGGACUGGAGAGGAGACUGGAAUUUACGGUGUAGCGGUGAAAUGCGUAGAUAUCGUAAGGAAGACCAGUGGCGAAGGCGGGUCUCUGGACAGUUCCUGACGCUGAGGCACGAAGCUCAGGGGAGCAAACGGG